This is a long non-coding RNA of Piliocolobus tephrosceles (Ugandan red Colobus), 845 nucleotides long. RefSeq lists it as uncharacterized. The transcript is spliced from 3 exons. NCBI's taxonomy places the organism in Eukaryota, Metazoa, Chordata, Mammalia, Primates, Cercopithecidae. The record is from RefSeq and is a predicted model, not a curated record.
UUCUCCUGGCCUGCUGGUCUGUGCCGGCGAGUGUGCUGAGAGGAGGGCCUCUGGACAUCAAAGGUUCCUUUUGUCCCCUUGCGAGUGGCAGGGCAGCCCGGCCGGGCUGCUGGCGAUGACUCAGGCCUGGCCCUGACGUCACCCACGCCCGGCCACUGGCCUCCCUCUGAAGCCAGGAAACUGGCUGGGGAGUGGCACUCGCAGCUGCAGCAAAUCUCAAAAUAAAGAGGCAACGGCCUUUCUCCUCCUCUCCAUCUCCCUACAGCACACCUUUUAUUUCUUUUCUUCUUUUUUUUAAGCCUCACGAAAGAUUUUACUUGUAGAUCAACUUUCAAAAUGUAGGAAGUCAGAAUGGGUGACAUCAUCAGAAAAAUAUGUGGAGCUGAUCACCACAAGAAGUGAAGAACCCAGGGCACGAAAGCGGUUGUGACUCCUGGGCCCAGGGAGCUGGCAGCGUCUGGGCUUCAGAGGAGCCAGCGACUCCGAGUGGUCUUGAAGUGAGGCUCUGCUGUACUCCUGUUCUUGUGGCUCUGAGAUCUGAAUGUUGUGACCACUAAUUUGGGACAUUUAACCUGGGAUUCACUGAAACCUUUGAGGAAAGAUGGAUGAGUCAUCUCUCUGCCAAAAGAAGAUGAUUCCUGGCAUUCUAUGGGGCUCUUAGUGCAUUGGGACAAGGAGGCUUGGAAAUUACUCCACGGAGGCAUUGACCUUGGGUAGUGCCUCUCAAGCCAGAGUGGAGAGAGUAGAGCCCUCAUCUUUGUCCAAAAGAGCAUUAGUAUAACCCCUUACCCCAACCCCACCCCAUUCUCUCCUUUUUAAAAGGAGAGAAGAAUAUAUACAAGAAA